CUGGCAUAAUUAAGAUCUGUGAAAAGACAGCCUUCUGUCCCUUCCCCAUGAAUCUGUGCUUGCAUUCAAAUGCCAUGUUAUCAGGUCAUUCUGCACUGAAAUACUGCUGUCCUCCAAGACAAAAGCAACUGUGUAUCAGAGAUUUUCGUCUUCCUUCUGCUGAGAGUUUCCAGUGGUGAAUGUAAGAAAGUGAAUCAUUUUUAUGCAAGGUAGCAGAGCCCCGCAGGGCUGUUAUCCCUUGCCUGGCUCCACCACUGAAAU
RNAcentral lists this long non-coding RNA (261 nucleotides) under Numida meleagris (helmeted guineafowl). RNAcentral describes it as "lncRNA (ENSNMEG00000019482.1)". The record is from RNAcentral. Lineage: Eukaryota; Metazoa; Chordata; Aves; Galliformes; Numididae.